This is a non-coding RNA of Euleptes europaea (tarantolino), 174 nucleotides long. RefSeq annotates it as small Cajal body-specific RNA 16. NCBI's taxonomy places the organism in Eukaryota, Metazoa, Chordata, Lepidosauria, Squamata, Sphaerodactylidae. The record is from RefSeq and is a predicted model, not a curated record. The transcript has a single exon.
GGGGCCUGGGAAAUGGCAGUUGUGGGGCUGGGCCUACCAGGGCACAGCCCAAUGACAACUAGCCUGACCCUGCCCUAGAUAAACGACCGGGCAGACACCGGUUUGUCCUGUGCAGUAACAGGUGUGAGCAUUCUGUCAGUAGCUUGAUGGUCAUGUAUGAUACUGCACACAGUC